CCAUGACAACGGCACAAUAGCAAGGUUCAACGAUUUUGUGAAUAUUUUAAAUAUUAAACUUCAUUCCAAAUUUUAGCUAAGUUGAAAUAAUGUUUUUGUUGAAAUCUCAUAAGCACUAACAUGUUGUUCAAAUUUACCCUUAAAAGAAAACUAUUAUACGAGUCAACAUGUGAACUUUUCUGAACCUUAGUUUUGCUUAUGUUUGAGAUUUCAAAAAAUCACAAACUGCACUAUACCCCCCUAGUUAUUUUUAAAGAUUAGAGUUGAUCUGGGACUGGGCAGACUGUGGUUGAAUGUGGUUGGGUCAGCAGGGAAGAAUCCUAUAGUCAGUUUGGAAAGCCCGACGGCAACCCUAAUCUCUACUGAACUGACCAGACAAACAUUGCUUAAUUGCGGCGCCGGUUGAGUGGAGACUGCGAACUACGGCUGGUGCCCGAUACCACCGGCGCGCUCCGCCUCUCUCAGUCCUAGCUUCCGGCCCGCCCCUUCCUCCCGGGCCGGGCGGCGCAGUGCCUCCCAGUUCCAGGGUUGCCAGACGUGGCCGGAACAAAAGCCCGGCACACAAAGGCCAGAGGGGGAAGCGGGACUCGUCCCCGGUUGCCCCGUCUCCCUGAAGCCUUAAGUUCUGGUCGCCUUCUGAGCAACCCUUGACUCGAUCUCCAUAGCAGGCCUUCCUCGAUGGCGGCCAUGACAGUUGCAUCCGGGUAUUUCGAGGAGACGCGGGCAGAACCUCCCGGAAGUGACGCGACCGCGGAGUGAUCCGCGUUCUGCUGAAGGAGACUGGGGUGAGAAGUUUCCAGGAAGCAGGUCUGUUGGGUCCGCUAUCGGUGGCGGGGAGAGUCUGUGUUCUUAGUAACAACCAACUCUUUCUAGCACGUUUUACGUGCCAGUUAUUGUGCUAAGCACCAGCAUUGUCAUACCAUUUAAUCCUUACCUCACAACCACCCCAGGAGUUAGAAACUAUUAUGUCCAUUUUAUAUACCGGGAAACUAAAACUGGGAGAGGGUAAGUGAUUUGGCCAAGAUCAUACAGCUAGUAUUUGAUGGCGUUAGAUUCUUACCUAGGCAGUUUGAUUUGUAAAGCCUGUGCUUCCGGUUAACUCUUAGAAAGACGGGGAGCGGGUGUAGCUGAGUGGUUUGAGUGCCAAAGAGCCUCUAUUUAGGAAAGACCAAGUCCCUUGCACGUACCAUCCUUGUAACCCACUUCUGAGACCACCAUUCUCACCAACUGCUCAACAUCCAGUUGACCAGUGAGUGUGGCUAACACACAGGCACUGUCAUCUUUAGGGUGGGCUCAUGACCCAACAGUGUGCUAGGAUUACUUUUACUAAUCUAGGAUUUCACUUUGUUUUGCCCUUCUUUCUUCUGGCACAUGCAGCUGCCUUGGAAGCUGCAGAUUAAUUGAGGAAACUACCACAGGCUAUUGAGCUCUGGGAAAUAUUUUAAUCUCCUGUCAGGCACUUAUCAAUUCAGGACUGUUCAGACAAUUGGAGACCUGUCACCAUGAUCAAAUACAGUCUCUGGCCUAAACAAAGGACUGGCAGCUAUUUUCAUUGACUUUCCACCUAAUGGUUUCAUCUCUCUCCUAUUUCUUUAGAAUGUGACUGAAAAAAUCUAUUGUUCGAUCUUAUUUCUAUAUUAACUAUAACCAGCCCUCAAAUAAUAAAAUGUGUAUAGCCACUAAGGCAGGAGUUCUUACCAGGGGUCCA
Dasypus novemcinctus (nine-banded armadillo) is the source of this 1708-nucleotide long non-coding RNA. The record is from Ensembl. Lineage: Eukaryota; Metazoa; Chordata; Mammalia; Cingulata; Dasypodidae.